This 909-nucleotide ribosomal RNA is filed under the name Triticum aestivum (bread wheat). RNAcentral's name for it is "partial small subunit ribosomal RNA". Lineage: Eukaryota; Viridiplantae; Streptophyta; Magnoliopsida; Poales; Poaceae. The record is from RNAcentral.
AUGAGAUAUCCAAUUGAGCAUCAUGCAUCUAAGAUAUACACGAUCAGCGUGUACAAACUUUUUCUUCAAGAACUACUCAAAUCAAGCUCUUACAUUGUUACUAUUUUGACUGAUGGUGCAUUAUAUGAGGUACGGCACGUUGAAUCUACAACUCGAGAGGCUUGGUCUCGUGUUAUUUUCAAUAUUGAGAUCAUCUGCAACGGUCAGUUUUACAAAUGCCAGUGUGGGUUGUACAGUCAUUUUGGCAUACUUUGUUGCCAUGCACUUAGGGUUAUGCUUCAUCUAGGUGUAUGCAAAAUACCAGAUUUGCACAUCAUGAAGCGUUGGACUCGACAAGCUAGGUCUACAGUCCCUGCCAAUCUAGUUGAACCAAAUGUUGAAAAGGGACCUAUAUUGACUAAAGAAUUCAGACAUGAGAUGAUACAUAUGGCAACAAUUGAAAUUCCAAGCCUUGGUGACCAUGACAAUGAAACAUAUGACAUAGUUAUGAGGAACAUCGAGCGAUUGAAGAAAGAGGUUUCAGUGUACAUGUCCUCCAUAUCUACCACUUGUCAGAUAGGAUAUGGCUCUCACCAAUCAAGCGAAGAUGUGAAUUCUAGUCACAAUUCUAUGAUGGAUGACUGUAGUGAUGCUGAUUCCUCAAAAAGUUUAUGCAUAGUUGAUGAGAAUAGCAACAAGUCCAUAUCAAUUAGUUCUAUUAAAGGACCACUGAUAAAGAAGAAAAAGGGAAGGGAUCACAACUCGAGGUACAAGUCCAGGUUGGAAGGAAUAAUACGGAAACCAAGACCAUUGCCAGCCAAAGACGAGACUUGUAAGCAACCAGGAGGACAGUCCGGCGUCCAGCAGACAAGGUUUUGCGGCUACUGCCGUGGAAAAGGACAUGAUGUUAGAAGAUGUGAGACUAGGUGA